RNAcentral lists this ribosomal RNA (460 nucleotides) under uncultured bacterium. Its description in RNAcentral is "partial 16S ribosomal RNA". It matches the Rfam family "Bacterial small subunit ribosomal RNA", at positions 338 to 795 of the family's 1533-position model. The record is from RNAcentral.
CCUACGGGCGGCAGCAGUGAGGAAUAUUGGUCAAUGGACGAGAGUCUGAACCAGCCAAGUAGCGUGAAGGAUGACUGCCCUAUGGGUUGUAAACUUCUUUUAUAAAGGAAUAAAACGAGGCACGUGUGCCUUUUUGCAUGUACUUUAUGAAUAAGGAUCGGCUAACUCCGUGCCAGCAGCCGCGGUAAUACGGAGGAUCCGAGCGUUAUCCGGAUUUAUUGGGUUUAAAGGGAGCGUAGAUGGGUUGUUACGUCAGUUGUGAAAGUUUGCGGCUCAACCGUAAAAUUGCAAUUGAUACUGGCAGUCGUGAGUACAGUUGAGGUAGGCGGAAUUCGUGGUGUAGCGGUGAAAUGCUUAGAUAUCACGAAGAACCCCGAUUGCGAAGGCAGCUUACUAAACUGUGACUGACAUUGAUGCUCGAAAGUGUGGGUAUCAAACAGGAUUAGAUACCCGAGUAGUC